GGGAGCGGCAGACGGGUGAGUAACGCGUGGGAAUCUACCUUUUGCUACGGAAUAACUCAGGGAAACUUGUGCUAAUACCGUAUGUGCCCUUCGGGGGAAAGAUUUAUCGGCAAAGGAUGAGCCCGCGUUGGAUUAGCUAGUUGGUGAGGUAAAGGCUCACCAAGGCGACGAUCCAUAGCUGGUCUGAGAGGAUGAUCAGCCACACUGGGACUGAGACACGGCCCAGACUCCUACGGGAGGCAGCAGUGGGGAAUAUUGGACAAUGGGCGCAAGCCUGAUCCAGCCAUGCCGCGUGAGUGAUGAAGGUCUUAGGAUUGUAAAGCUCUUUCACCGGUGAAGAUAAUGACGGUAACCGGAGAAGAAGCCCCGGCUAACUUCGUGCCAGCAGCCGCGGUAAUACGAAGGGGGCUAGCGUUGUUCGGAUUUACUGGGCGUAAAGCGCACGUAGGCGGACUUUUAAGUCAGGGGUGAAAUCCCGGGGCUCAACCCCGGAACUGCCUUUGAUACUGGAAGUCUUGAGUAUGGUAGAGGUGAGUGGAAUUCCGAGUGUAGAGGUGAAAUUCGUAGAUAUUCGGAGG
This 578-nucleotide ribosomal RNA is filed under the name Ochrobactrum sp. DK-2. RNAcentral's name for it is "bacterial SSU rRNA". It matches the Rfam family "Bacterial small subunit ribosomal RNA", at positions 91 to 704 of the family's 1533-position model. The record is from RNAcentral. Lineage: Bacteria; Pseudomonadati; Pseudomonadota; Alphaproteobacteria; Hyphomicrobiales; Brucellaceae.